UACGUAGGGUGCAAGCGUUGUCCGGAAUUAUUGGGCGGAAAGAGCUCGUAGGCGGCUUGUCGCGUCUGCUGUGAAAACUGGAGGCUCAACCUCCAGCCUGCAGUGGGUACGGGCAAGCUAGAGUGCGGUAGGGGAGAUUGGAAUUCCUGGUGUAGCGGUGGAAUGCGCAGAUAUCAGGAGGAACACCGAUGGCGAAGGCAGAUCUCUGGGCCGUUACUGACGCUGAGGAGCGAAAGCAUGGUGAGCGAACAGG
This 253-nucleotide ribosomal RNA is filed under the name uncultured bacterium. Its description in RNAcentral is "partial 16S ribosomal RNA". It matches the Rfam family "Bacterial small subunit ribosomal RNA", at positions 524 to 776 of the family's 1533-position model. The record is from RNAcentral.